This 743-nucleotide unclassified non-coding RNA is filed under the name Hevea brasiliensis (rubber tree). The record is from RNAcentral. Lineage: Eukaryota; Viridiplantae; Streptophyta; Magnoliopsida; Malpighiales; Euphorbiaceae.
AGUCAGUGAUGACAUCCUCAUCUGUAGCAGAAACUGUUACACUUCCUGCUGAUGAAGGAUGCCCUCUCGAAUUGAUUGGAAGCAUAUUUAGAGCCGGUACUGUCCCAACAACAUUGCUGGGAGCAAGACACUCUUGAUAUUGAAUCCUCUCUCUCUUCUCCCAAUUUGCAACAAUAGACCGUGUCCUUGCUCUUCUUUGACCUUCCAUGGGAUUAACACUCCUAACAACAUUUCCACGUGCUUCAUAAUUUUCAUUUUGGUUUCUGGAAAGUAACUCAGGUGCUGAAUGCAUUUCAGGUUUUGUUGAAACAAAACUAUUGUCAUCCUUCACAUUCCUCUCAGUUGCUGCAGCUCCAAGUAUUGAGCAUUUAACUGAAGGGAAAAUGUUCUUGUCUGCUAUACUGCUGAACUCAAUAGCCUUAGGGACUUCAAUGUCAGACUGUGACACAGCAUUUGACCUCCCAAGGUCUUCCUUGAGAGUUGGAAACUUCCGUAAAUCAGAGACUUUUGUCUGCGAUAACUGCUGUAUUGCCCUUGUUGCGGUUCCUUCUUUCCUGGGUUCAGAUGCUUGCUCCAUUCUGUCAUUAUUUCUAGGCACGAUAACAGGUAUGAUCUCUGAUCUAUUGAUAAUGGAAGAAUUUGCUGUUGAUUGGGCUUUAGCUGAAUUCCUCUUCAAAACAGUUGUAUUUGGAACUGCUGUUGUAUUAAUUGGAGCUGCUUUCGAGCCAACACUCAGAUUUAUU